This 460-nucleotide ribosomal RNA is filed under the name uncultured bacterium. Its description in RNAcentral is "partial 16S ribosomal RNA". It matches the Rfam family "Bacterial small subunit ribosomal RNA", at positions 338 to 795 of the family's 1533-position model. The record is from RNAcentral.
CCUACGGGAGGCAGCAGUGAGGAAUAUUGGUCAAUGGGCGAGAGCCUGAUCCAGCCAAGCCGCGUGAAGGAAGAAGGAUCUAUGGUUUUAAAACUCUUUUUAUAUGGGAAUAAAGUGAGGAACGUGCUCCUUUAUGUAUGUACUAUAUGAAUACGCAUCGGCUAACUCCGUGCCAGCAGCCGCGGUAAUACGGAGGAUGCGAGCGUUAUCCGGAUUUAUUGGGUGUAAAGGGUGCGUAGGUGGUUAAUUAAGUCAGCGGUGAAAGUUUGUGGCUCAACCAUGAGAUUGCCGUUGAAACUGGUUGACUUGAGUAUAGUAGAGGUAGGCGGAAUGCGUGGUGUAGCGGUGAAAUGCAUAGAUAUCACGCAGAACACCGAUUGCGAAGGCAGCUUACUAAACUAUAACUGACGCUGAGGCACGAAAGCGUGGGGAGCAAACAGGAUUAGAUACCCUUGUAGUC